CGAAGCGUUCAUCGUAACCUGCAAUGAUAAUAUAAGUAUAUUCCACAUUUCGUUUAGAUGAAAGUUAUGGGGUUAUUUAUUGAUAUAAACUGUGUUUUAGUUGAUCUUACAGGUUACAAAGGCGAAGAAUUUACGACGAAUCUCGAACAACCAGUACAGAACAACAGCUGACGUUCUUCAAAUAAGUAAUGCAGCUUCAAAUACAGCUGAAAAAUGAAGGUUAUCAGCAAACACAAACAGUUUCUUCGUAACAGUUCUGAAUUUUAUUUUAACAUGCACAAAAGCGACGCGGCUAUCUUUCAAUAAAAAGUAAACAAAAGA
Molecule: long non-coding RNA, 321 nt
Organism: Anopheles gambiae (African malaria mosquito)
Lineage: Eukaryota; Metazoa; Arthropoda; Insecta; Diptera; Culicidae
Exons: 2
Source: RefSeq, a predicted model, not a curated record